This 466-nucleotide ribosomal RNA is filed under the name uncultured bacterium. RNAcentral's name for it is "partial 16S ribosomal RNA". It matches the Rfam family "Bacterial small subunit ribosomal RNA", at positions 28 to 507 of the family's 1533-position model. The record is from RNAcentral.
GAUGAACGCUGGCGGCGUGCUUAACACAUGCAAGUCGAACGGAAAGGCCCAAGCUUGCUUGGGUACUCGAGUGGCGAACGGGUGAGUAACACGUGGGUGAUCUGCCCUGCACUUCGGGAUAAGCCUGGGAAACUGGGUCUAAUACCGGAUAGGACCACAUUUUGGAUGGUGUGGUGGAAAGUUUUUCGGUGUGGGAUGAGCUCGCGGCCUAUCAGCUUGUUGGUGGGGUAAUGGCCUACCAAGGCGUCGACGGGUAGCCGGCCUGAGAGGGUGUACGGCCACAUUGGGACUGAGAGACGGCCCAGACUCCGACGGGAGGCAGAAGUGGGGAAGAUUGCACAAGGGGAGCAAGCCUGAUGCAGCGACGCCGCGGGGGGGAUGACGGCCUUCGGGUUGGAAACUCAUUUCGCUAGGGACGAAGCGUUAUGUGACGGUACCUGGAGAAGAAGCACCGGCUAACUACGUG